GAGCAAGUAACGUCUAAAUUAACUUUUUUUUGCUGAUGAACUGUAUAAAUGAGUGUCUAAUAGUGUUUUAAAUGUGUGUAUUCAUUAUUUUAGCAUUUUGGUGCAUUUUCUUAAAAAAUUAAAAAUUCUGCCUAAAUACCACAGUAUAGCUCCACCUUCAGCUUAAAACAUAGAAUUUGACUCAUUUUGAAUAAAUUUUAGCCAAUGGCUAAAGAGUAAGAUACUACGUAAUCCAGUAGAGUACUACGUAGCAGCUCUGUGUCAACGUUAUAAAAGCAUCGGGAGUCUCGGCCACGCCUUGUGGCGAGUUGGGAGUUGGAUUUGCAUGAGAGUGUAGGAGGCUAGCCGUAGUUCAGCAUUAGCAUAUAGCAUUAGCAUAUCCUAGUCUUUAGCAUAGCUUUUAGUGUUAUACAUACUUAUUUAGUGUUAGCUUGGCUGUUGGAUAUUGUAGUUUAGUUACUGUUUGGCUGUUAGUGUAAUUAGGAAAGUAGUUCGGGUUUAGUGCUCCAUAUCGUGUUAGCAUGGUGAGAUGGUGUAGUGUAGUAUGGUUGCGGAGCUCUGUCGGGUUGCACUCCUUUCCGCUGGACUUAGAAAUUAGGCGCCAGUGGUUGCGUGUCUGGAAAAGAUUCAGCUCCCGCCUGGUGCUGUAGUUUGCAACCAGCAUUUUACCCGCGAUUCUGCACGUCUCCGUUCCAAGAGGGAGGCUGUGCCCACCGUGGCUCUUCCGCGAUUUAGAUGCAGCCCACCGACUCUGCUCCCCCACCAUGACGGGCUACAGUCUGAGGCUAAAUCUACCCAAGACACUGGCUGUCAGACUGAUUUAGUAGUCUGCAAGAAUGCACUUGUCCAGGCUGACGUGGUGUUACCCGUAGCAAAGAGCUCACAGCCUCAGUGUCUUGUGACACAGGGACCAUGACAGAAAUUCAUCUUCCAGAAGGUCCCAGAGCAUCCACACCUCCUGAAAAGACCACGGUGUGAGGUGUCUGCUGUUGAUUCCAGCUUCCACCUCAGUGACAGUGCAAGCUCAGUGAACUGUUCAAGGAGGCUACUGAUUCUGGCCCUGUGACACUUGGUGGUCACCACCAGGUGGUGACGUGUGAGCCGAUUCACCUGGACACUCAGCAAAAUAUGGACUCUACACCAUGAGGCAGGCACACGUUAAUAACUCUAUAAGAGCACAUAAGGUAAGCAACACCACAUAUUAUUUUUAUUACUGUACACUGUCCUGGAUUUGUUUUCUUUCUGCAUGAUUUGUUUUCUUUCUGCAUCUCAUCAUUAGCCUGGCUGAUCACCUGAUAACUCCUGUCAUCUGGUUAUGACAGCAUGAGGAUGUCCUCACACACCUGUAACCUAUCAGCUCAUCUGGCAGAAUAGAGAGAGAAGAGACAACACCACAUCUCCUGUUCCUGGAAAGCCUUCAGCCAUCCUUCGAUGACUGAGAACCUCCAUCAGCUCUGUCUCCUGUCUGCCUACAAUUAUUAUAAUAAAUAUUGUGUUUGACAAGUU
Non-coding RNA from Nothobranchius furzeri (turquoise killifish), 1506 nucleotides. Lineage: Eukaryota; Metazoa; Chordata; Actinopteri; Cyprinodontiformes; Nothobranchiidae. The record is from RefSeq and is a predicted model, not a curated record.